AUGAAAACAAAAGAUUGAUUCUCACACCUACUAUCUACCAACAAUCUCUUCUACCACAUCCACAAUCUGUGAACUCUCCUAUGCCUAUGUGUAGAGGGACACCAUGAUAUCUCACUGAUAAAUGUCUUACAUGUGAAAAUCUGGUUCAGUCAUGAGGAAAAGUUUUCUUGAAAAUAGCAUCCUCAAGAGGAACAGAAAUGACCAGGCCCCAGACCACUCCUACCAUCAGUAAUGGGCCUGUUCUCCACUAGCAGCCACCACUGCCCUUCUUCCUGCCUGUACCUGGAUGAUAUCAGAAGAAUCAGAUUCAAAUGCAUAAGUCUUUUCUCAGAAGAUGAGAUUUAAAGGAUGUGGCUGAAAGAGUAAGAGAAAAGCUAAUGAUGGUGUGAGUAGAAGCAUAUGUAUGAAGAUAUCUAAUUGAUAAAUGUUAAGUAGCUGCUUCUUUUUCUUCAUCCAUACACUGUAAUGUGUAAGGAUAGAGUCCUUUUGCAAACAAGCAUUCCAAACAGGAAACAUUCCACCUUCUCCUCUUCAGAAAACAUCUAAAGGAC
RNAcentral lists this long non-coding RNA (551 nucleotides) under Mus musculus (house mouse). RNAcentral describes it as "predicted gene, 26779". The record is from RNAcentral. Lineage: Eukaryota; Metazoa; Chordata; Mammalia; Rodentia; Muridae.